Pelobates cultripes (western spadefoot toad) is the source of this 514-nucleotide non-coding RNA. NCBI's taxonomy places the organism in Eukaryota, Metazoa, Chordata, Amphibia, Anura, Pelobatidae. The record is from the annotation of a GenBank genome assembly.
AAAAAAAAUAAAAAAAUCUUUUCAGCCUCAUGCAGUUAUAUUGUCAUCGCCGUCCAAUUUGUUCCCCAGCUCCGUCAGCCAGACUGUGACACUUGGCUUUCUUCUGUAAAGACCCCGAGCAGCUCACUGCAGUUACAUAUUAACAGAGUGUUGUGCUAGCAGCGACGGUUUGCUUUCUCCUACCUGCAGCCUUUCCAUUCACACCCUCACGGGAGCAGAGCUGUGCUGCAUGUCCUUCAGGAUAUCAUUAAAAACACACCGCCUGGGCAAUUUGCAUGGAAGCUCUGCUGAAAGAUGUUUCAAGAUCCUUCCAGCCGAUGGUCCCAUCUGAUGUAAUCUGUUGCACUCCGAGGCAGAGCUUUGCGUAGAGGUAGAUUUGUGUGACUUUGAAGCUGCUGGUUACCUGCCACCCUUUGCAGCGAGAUUAUGUUACAAACUGUGGAAGGAAGAGAUUGGUUAUCAAACAUACAUAAUUUCUGAGCAAUUCUAACACUACAGGAGCCGUCUCCCAACC